GACGAACGCUGGCGGCGUGCUUAACACAUGCAAGUCGAACGGAAAGGCCCUGCUUUUGUGGGGUGCUCGAGUGGCGAACGGGUGAGUAACACGUGAGUAACCUGCCCUUGACUUUGGGAUAACUUCAGGAAACUGGGGCUAAUACCGGAUAGGAGCUCCUGCUGCAUGGUGGGGGUUGGAAAGUUUCGGCGGUUGGGGAUGGACUCGCGGCUUAUCAGCUUGUUGGUGGGGUAGUGGCUUACCAAGGCUUUGACGGGUAGCCGGCCUGAGAGGGUGACCGGCCACAUUGGGACUGAGAUGCGGCCCAGACUCCGACGGGAGGCAGCAGUGGGGAAUAUUGCACAAGGGGCGGAGGCCUGAUGCAGCACCGCCGCGUGCGGGAUGACGGCCUUCGGGUUGUAAACCGCUUUCGCCUGGGACGAAGCGUGAGUGACGAUGAUGGGUAAAGAAACACCGGCUAACUACGUG
RNAcentral lists this ribosomal RNA (468 nucleotides) under uncultured bacterium. RNAcentral's name for it is "partial 16S ribosomal RNA". It matches the Rfam family "Bacterial small subunit ribosomal RNA", at positions 28 to 507 of the family's 1533-position model. The record is from RNAcentral.